This 479-nucleotide ribosomal RNA is filed under the name uncultured bacterium. RNAcentral's name for it is "bacterial SSU rRNA". It matches the Rfam family "Bacterial small subunit ribosomal RNA", at positions 26 to 507 of the family's 1533-position model. The record is from RNAcentral.
UGGCUCGAGGACGAACGCUGGCGGCGUGCCUAACACAUGCAAGUCGAGCGGAGACAGUGAGUAGCUUGCUACGAACUAUUUUAGCGGCGGACGGGUGAGUAACGCGUGAGCAACCUUUCCCAGACAGGGGAAUAACACACCGAAAGGUGUACUAAUACCGCAUAAGACCACGGGAUCACAUGGUUCUGGGGUAAAAGAUUUAUCGGUUUGGGGUGGGCUCGCGUCCGAUUAGGUAGUUGGUGAGGUAACGGCCCACCAAGCCGACGAUCGGUAGCCGACCUGAGAGGGUGAUCGGCCACAUUGGGACUGAGACACGGCCCAGACUCCUACGGGAGGCAGCAGUGGGGAAUAUUGGGCAAUGGGCGCAAGCCUGACCCAGCAACGCCGCGUGAAGGAAGAAGGCUUUCGGGUUGUAAACUUCUUUUGUCAGGGACGAGUAGAAGACGGUACCUGACGAAUAAGCCACGGCUAACUACGUG